UGAGGGAAUCAGUCUCUUGGAUGGCAAAUG
This 30-nucleotide non-coding RNA is filed under the name Mus musculus (house mouse). RNAcentral also lists the same sequence under 1 other name. Lineage: Eukaryota; Metazoa; Chordata; Mammalia; Rodentia; Muridae. The record is from RNAcentral.